UUGUUUUGAAUUUGGUGAUCAAUUUCUUUGGCUGUAGAUUUAUCUGCGAUAGAGACAAAGGAUCCCAAGUGGUUCUUUUUAUGUCUGCAGGAUUGAAGUACCCGAAUGGAUAUUGAUUGAACUGGGCAAUGACUGCUGGGUAGUGGAAGGCCACUGGGAAGGUUUGGAGAAUCAAGUCCAGAGCGAUCUUCUAACGUUUAUUACCUUGCAGUCAGUUCCAGUAUGGUUCUAAGGAACCAGAUGAGAUGUCUGAGUUCCUGAAUUCAAUUCUAUGCAACCAGAUGAGUGCUCAUAUGCAAUCAAAAGAAUCUGGCUUAUGAAGUCUGUCAAACCUUGAUGAAGGUGGUACCUUUUGAGGACAAUGGAUCGUGCAGUGGGUCAGAUACUGACGUGGUCAAUACACGGUUUCAAGGUUCUCCGCAGUCUGAAAAGAUCAUUGACAGAAAGGCUUCUUUGCAGAACCCUGUCUCUUCUGGUGGUGCUGCUGAAGAAAUCUAUGAUUGUAGUCUCAAGGAAUCAAGCAAUCAUUUGAGCGCAGUUGCAAGUGGUGAGGUUAGAACUGGAAUCAGGAUAAGGCAUCUCCAACGGCAAAACCAACCAUGCAUGGAGAACUCUGUUACAUAGGUGGCACAGGGCACUGCUCCAAGAAGAAUGUGUUUGCUGUGUAAACCUCAAGUGCAGCCACUUACCUGCAUCCUGAUGUCGGAGAUACACAACAGGAGAUCACGAAUUAAAAGCAGUUGCUACAGAGGAAAGAAAUGGAGAUGCUUCAGAAAAGCAUGCUGUUGCUGGUGGUCAUGGUGCUGCUGAUGCUACUAGGUGCUUUAUGUAAACCCCGAAAGACCCUGAUUUUCUUGAAAUAAGUACCAGUAUGAUACCAAGCCUGAGGUUACAGGGCAACAUUUUGACAGGCAUUAAUGUCGUUUCUUUAUUUUUAAAGGCUCCUCCUCUUCAUCACUCAAACUCGUCACCUGCUCUUCUGUUCAGGGUAAUGGUGGUUGUAGUCUUGUUUAUGAUUUUUGCUAGCAUAUGGAGAUUUCUUAAAUUUUUAUUUCA
Quercus robur (English oak) is the source of this 1056-nucleotide long non-coding RNA. RefSeq lists it as uncharacterized. NCBI's taxonomy places the organism in Eukaryota, Viridiplantae, Streptophyta, Magnoliopsida, Fagales, Fagaceae. The record is from RefSeq and is a predicted model, not a curated record. The transcript has 3 exons.